CAUUACAUUUAUGUUGCACUUUGUUUUCAUGAAACCCUGACUCUGGGUUGUGUGCGAUAGAGUAACUACGGUCAGUUCUGCUGUAUGUGAGAAGAAGCUGUGGAGAAAAUUACUUGCAACAACGGUUCUGUAUUUGCAAUUGCGCUUGCUCGGUCUAUUUCUUCUGGGAGCCAAAAGAGAUAUUUUCCUUGUAUAGCUCAUCCCCACCAAAUUGAAUAGAAACAUCAUUACUACUGUACGUUAAAGUAUAGUCACUUGACAGUAUUUUACUGUAUGGUAUAUAAAUAGAAUUUACAGCAAUGUGUAUGUCAUAUGUGCCCAAAAUUCCCAGCAUGCAUUGUAAUAUUCAUGGCUCCAGUGUUUAAACAUGGCAGUGUAAAUAAGACACACAUGCAGGAAAAUACAAUUAUACAAGAAAGAGAAUGUUCCUGAAAAUAUAUUGUGUAGAAAUACUGAACAAUGCGUCACUGUUGCAGAAAAGCAUUGUUGUAUGUCCUUCUCCUACGUCCACGUGGUGACAGUACCUGUAUCAUUAUCAGGAGCAAAUUGCUGCUUUCACCUGAUUCAGGCGCAUCCAGCUAAACGCGUGCUGCAGCGGGUUGCCAGCCAGUACGAUGUACCAUCUAUUCCAUCCCCGGGUCAGGCCUGUGGAUACGAGGAGGACACCAUGGGUGUGCUCCGCAAGCAGGACCCCACGCACAGAGACACCACCCUGGGCCCAGGCUACUACACCCCCUUGAAUUUAAAUCAGGAACCUGUGAGAAACUCCACAUCAUUGCUGAAAUGCGCAUGCGCACACCGUCUAAACCAGUUUGAACUCGACCGAGCGGCGAACUCACCUCCGACUGAACCGGAGCCUUGUGACGAUAGUCCGUCGACAACUUCUUAACAGAAACCCCCGAAGAAAACUUGACCACACUUGGACAAUUGGAUGUGAACUGAAUUGUUUCUACCAUUACGGAUUUUUGUCUGGUCUGGAGUUUGAUUCUAGCGUUUGAACAUUUUCUGGACAGAAGCGGGAACGGACAACCAUUUUGCCCUAGAAGGCGGCGAGAGGUCGUGGAGUGCCAGCCUAUGGUAUUUGAGGUCCAGGAGAGGUGACCUGCGCUGUUUUCUUUUGAGGAGAUAUCUGAAGAAUUUCAUCAGAUCACGAGCAAAGACCUGGGGACUUUCAAUGCAUCCCUUGACAAAUUUGUGCCUGGCCUGCUGAAACUGUACAGGUCUAAGAAGGGAACUCUUGGUGAGAAGAUGGAAGACCUUCUGGAUAAACUUGAUGAACAGACAUCCAACAUUGUGUCCCACCGAAAGACGGCAGCACUGAGAGGCCUGCCGAUUUUCCUCCGAGAAGAUGCAACAAAGGUUUUCCUGAACUGCUUGGACACUGAUAUUUUGGAACCAGUGCUGAACGGUGCAUCUGUUGCCGUCCUCACCAUCCGACAAGAUGACAAUGCCGAUGCAUCUGUGCGAGACCAGGCAGUUGUGUUUGAAGAGGACAUCGUGCUACAUAACAUUCCAGACCUCUCUACGGCCUUGGCAUACAUCUUUGGCCUUCUGUAUGCCCUCAACAUUGAUUAUCCAAAGCAGAUGAGGUAUACCUUUGAAGCAAUUCAGGCCAUCUUUUUUUUAACUCGGUUGUUCAAGAAAAACUAAAGUAUCUAUGCAAAAAAAAAAAAAAAAAAAAAAGUCACCUGUUUCAACUGGCAUAGGGAUGUAUGUGAUUGAAAAUUUUAUUUUUAUUUAUUUAUUAUGAAAUGUUCCCCUCCUGUUGUCCUUUGGUUCAGGAACAAAGAAGGAAGUACAGGGAGGAUGAAGGAAGGAAGGAUAAGGAGGGAGGGAGGGAGGAAUGGAAGGGGAAAGCAGGGGAGGAAAGAAGGAAGGACAGAGGAAGAAAAAAAAGGGGGGGGUAUGGGAUGGAAGGAGCGGAAGAAUGAAGGCAGGAAAGAAAGAAGGGGGGGCAGUCAAAGCAGGAUGGGUCAUUUUGACCUGGUUGGACAAUGUGAAGGUUAAGUGGAUAAAUCAUUAUUAGAUAUGAUUUUAGUCAGAGGAAUCUAUGUUGUUGACAAUAUAUGGAGAGAUUCUGUCAUGCAGUAUUUUAAAAGCUUUGUCGAAGUGUUGCCCACUUCACGUGAAGCGCAGAACUGGUGUUUUAACAGUUAGUUCCCUGUUCAUUGAUGGUGAAAUUGUUAAAACUUUUAACUGCUCUAGUUCAUUAUAGUUAUGCCCAUGUAAAACUUCUGGGUAUACAGCCAAUCAUUUGUGGGACUAUUCUAUGUACAAGUGGUUAAGUUUGGCUCAGGGUCUGUGCAUGAGUUACUAUAUGUAGCUGGACACCUUUUUUUUUCCCCCACAUACUUUGUUUUUCUUUAUUGGUUCUGGACUUCAAUGUUAACGUCUGUGCUGUGGCGCUCAAAGCACCCAAAAGAAAAUGUCAAUAUUUUCUUUUUUACAGAAAUUGACCCGAUUACCCAUGACGUUCUGAAAUGUACUUGAGGCACUGUUAAACAAAAUAAAUAAGAUUUCAGAUAACA
This is an RNA transcript of Phyllopteryx taeniolatus (common seadragon), 2528 nucleotides long. It is a transcript of the gene named sperm-tail PG-rich repeat-containing protein 2-like, with no coding region annotated. The record is from RefSeq and is a predicted model, not a curated record. NCBI's taxonomy places the organism in Eukaryota, Metazoa, Chordata, Actinopteri, Syngnathiformes, Syngnathidae. The transcript is spliced from 7 exons.